This 877-nucleotide ribosomal RNA is filed under the name uncultured bacterium. RNAcentral describes it as "bacterial SSU rRNA". It matches the Rfam family "Bacterial small subunit ribosomal RNA", at positions 25 to 896 of the family's 1533-position model. The record is from RNAcentral.
GAAGAAGAAGCAUGCGGUGUGCCUAACCUAUGCGAGUCGAGCGGUUUCAGUUUCAACGCAAGGCGGAGACUGAGAUAGCGGCGAACGGGUGAGUAACGCGUGAGUAACCUACCUCGGAGCCUGGGAUAACUGGCCGAAAGGCCGGCUAAUACCGGAUACGUUCCUGCUUCCGCCUGGUUGGAGGAAGAGAGUCCCGCGGCAACGCGGGACGCUCCGAGAUGGACUCGCGUCCUAUCAGCUAGUUGGCGGGGUAGCGGCCCACCAAGGCGACGACGGGUAGCUGGUCUGAGAGGAUGAUCAGCCACACUGGGACUGAGACACGGCCCAGACUCCUACGGGAGGUUGCAAGGGGGAAUAUUGCGCAAUGGGCGAAAGCCUGACGCAGCGACGCCGCGUGAGGGAUGAAGGCCUUCGGGUUGUAAACCUCUGUUGAGGGGGACGAAAAAAAUGACGGUACCCCUAGAGGAAGCCCCGGCUAACUCUGUGCCAGCAGCCGCGGUAAGACGGAGGGGGCAAGCGUUGUCCGGAUUUACUGGGCGUAAAGCGCGCGUAGGCGGCUUUCUAAGUCGGCGGUGAAAUUUCGCGGCUCAACUGCGAAACGGCCGUCGAUACUGGAGAGCUUGAGUUCGGGAGAGGAGAGUGGAAUUCCUGGUGUAGCGGUGAAAUGCGUAGAUAUCAGGAAGAACACCCGUGGCGAAGGCGGCUCUCUGGACCGAUACUGACGCUGAGGCGCGAAAGCUAGGGGAGCGAACGGGAUUAGAUACCCCGGUAGUCCUAGCCGUAAACGAUGGUCACUAGGUGUUGGGGGUAUCGACCCCCCCCAGUGCCGCAGCUAACGCAUUAAGUGUCCCGCCUGGGGAGUACGGCCGCAAGGUUG